This 497-nucleotide ribosomal RNA is filed under the name uncultured bacterium. Its description in RNAcentral is "partial 16S ribosomal RNA". It matches the Rfam family "Bacterial small subunit ribosomal RNA", at positions 28 to 507 of the family's 1533-position model. The record is from RNAcentral.
GACGAACGCUGGCGGCGUGCCUAAUACAUGCAAGUAGAACGCUGAAGCUUGGUGCUUGCACCGAGCGGAUGAGUUGCGAACGGGUGAGUAACGCGUAGGUAACCUGCCUGGUAGCGGGGGAUAACUAUUGGAAACGAUAGCUAAUACCGCAUAAGAGUAGAUGUUGCAUGACAUUUGCUUAAAAGGUGCAAUUGCAUCACUACAAGAUGGACCUGCGUUGUAUUAGCUAGUUGGUGAGGUAACGGCUCACCAAGGCAACGAUACAUAGCCGACCUGAGAGGGUGAUCGGCCACACUGGGACUGAGACACGGCCCAGACUCCUACGGGAGGCAGCAGUAGGGAAUCUUCGGCAAUGGACGGAAGUCUGACCGAGCAACGCCGCGUGAGUGAAGAAGGUUUUCGGAUCGUAAAGCUCUGUUGUAAGAGAAGAACGAGUGUGAGAGUGGAAAGUUCACACUGUGACGGUAUCUUACCAGAAAGGGACGGCUAACUACGUG